AAAAGAAAAAAAGAAAAAAAAAUCUGCCUCCACUCUCUUUCACGUGCGACACCCCCCUGAAAUUUUCUCCUUCAUAGUGCCAUAGACAUUCAUGACCUUGCCGCCGCCGCUCGAUCCAUCAGGUGUCGCCUCGGUUUGUGUUGCCGCUCUAACUGUUCCGUUUCCUUCUCCAAUCGAAAGCCCUAGCCGUUACUCGACUCUGUCGCACGCGUUCACCUGGUUGAUGCCUCCAGCCGAGUCGCCCUUCUAUCUCAUAACCACGCCGAAGCCUCCCUCUUUCCCUCACUUCAAGUCGCGCUCUCUUAGCCAGUCGCACGCUUCAGGUCUGUCUGACAUCGAAGUCCUAGCCGUGAGUCUUCAGCCGCCCUACGCCGCGCGUCGGGCUAUCUGCUAGUCGCCACUCGCCACACUAGCGCCAGCCUUCAUCCGAUGCCCAGUGGCCCAGCCUCUUCGCCGCACUAGCGCCAUUCGAGCCAGAUCCGUCGCCGUCGUCCGCGUUCGUCCGGUGCCGCCCCGCCCCGAUCGUCGUCUUGGGUGCCGUCAGAUCUGUUUUGGGUAAGUUUGUGCUAUUUUAAUUGGAUUUCUUGGUUGAUGGUGUUUUAUUUCAAUCUAUUGAUACUUUAAAAUCGAGUUUUGGAGAAGCGUUAGAGCUAAAAGUAUGUUGUCAAGAGGAUUUGGGAGUGGUUUCGACAAGCUUUUGGAAUGUUGGAAUUGAAGGUUCAAAGUGGCUGUCCAUGAGAGUUAAGGUUGAAUUUGUGACUAGAGUUGUCGGGUUGUAUUGAUUUUGUAGCAUGGGGUGAUGUUCGAACCAACACACUUUGAGCCUGAUUCAAGAUUCAUCUAAGCUAGGAGGAAGAUUAUUUUGCUUGUCGUUUAGACAUAAUUUUGAGUAAGAGUAGUGAUGCGCUGGCGAAUGACAAGCAGAAUCCAUGAUCGAGCCACUGGGACCAGUUUUUAUGCUUCCGCUCAUAAGACUUAGAUUUCCUUCACGUUGCUAAAUUUUUAGUUUUGAUGUUUGAAACUUAUUAUUAAGAAUUGUUUUUCAUACUUAUU
Molecule: long non-coding RNA, 1053 nt
Organism: Benincasa hispida (wax gourd)
Lineage: Eukaryota; Viridiplantae; Streptophyta; Magnoliopsida; Cucurbitales; Cucurbitaceae
Source: RefSeq, a predicted model, not a curated record